Non-coding RNA from Paramuricea clavata, 416 nucleotides. The record is from the annotation of a GenBank genome assembly. Lineage: Eukaryota; Metazoa; Cnidaria; Anthozoa; Malacalcyonacea; Plexauridae.
UGCUAACAAACAAACACAAGUCAAGAAUAAGCGGCUUCUUUCUGUAAAAUUUUCCAAGCUUCUACAGAAAUACAGUAUUACACAACAAACUACAGUAGCUGAAGUGUGCAGGUAUUUCCGUUUUGACUGUAACUAUCUCUUUACAAACUGUAAAGAUUUUCUUAACUGAAGACAUCAAAAAUUUAACUGAUUUUUCACGAUCUUUUAGAGUUGUGGGAUUUCACCCAGUUUUGGAUCGCAAUCAAAUGCGCAAAAUAAACAAGCAGCUACUUUGUUUGCUGUAUAUUGAAAGUGGAAGGUUUUUGCAAAUUACGAAGUGAGAUUUCGCUCUACUUUGUGUCAUUGUGUUGUUUCACAGAUACCUCAGUUUCGGUUCAAUUGAAUCAUAUGACCCGGAUAACUUAGCGCUUUAUUGA